GGUUGAUCCUGCCAGUAGUCAUAUGCUCAUC
RNAcentral lists this ribosomal RNA (31 nucleotides) under Acacia barattensis. Its description in RNAcentral is "partial 18S ribosomal RNA". The record is from RNAcentral. Lineage: Eukaryota; Viridiplantae; Streptophyta; Magnoliopsida; Fabales; Fabaceae.